This 514-nucleotide ribosomal RNA is filed under the name uncultured bacterium. RNAcentral describes it as "partial 16S ribosomal RNA". It matches the Rfam family "Bacterial small subunit ribosomal RNA", at positions 28 to 523 of the family's 1533-position model. The record is from RNAcentral.
GAUGAACGCUGGCGGCGUGCCUAAUACAUGCAAGUCGAGCGAACAGAUGAGAAGCUUGCUUCUCUGAUGUUAGCGGCGGACGGGUGAGUAACACGUGGGUAACCUACCUACAAGACUGGGAUAACUCCGGGAAACCGGGGCUAAUACCGGAUAAUAUUUUGAACCGCAUGGUUCAAUAGUGAAAGACGGUUUCGGCUGUCCCUUAUAGAUGGACCCGCGCCGUAUUAGCUAGUUGGUAAGGUAACGGCUUACCAAGGCGACGAUACGUAGCCGACCUGAGAGGGUGAUCGGCCACACUGGAACUGAGACACGGUCCAGACUCCUACGGGAGGCAGCAGUAGGGAAUCUUCCGCAAUGGGCGAAAGCCUGACGGAGCAACGCCGCGUGAGUGAUGAAGGUCUUCGGAUCGUAAAACUCUGUUGUUAGGGAAGAACAAAUUUGUUAGUAACUGAACAAGUCUUGACGGUACCUAACCAGAAAGCCACGGCUAACUACGUGCCAGCCGCCGCGGUAA